GGAAUAGAAAAGGUGAAGAACUUACAGGAAUGUAUGAAUUCUUUUUCUGUAUUUUAUUAUUUCUGUGUUUCCCCUAUGACCUGUAUAUGUGCAGGCUCAUAUCUACUUGAGCCUUGGCCAGCUAGAAACAUAUUUACUUAACCUGAACUGAUGACAUUUAUUGGUAUUUGACAUUUAUCAAUAUUUAGUCUAUUAGCUGGACCACUGUCUGCUUGAUUAAGCCUGAAGGCCUGACUUUGUUUCCCAGAAAUCAGGAGAUUUCAGGGAAACAGAAACCUUCCAUUCCAAUCUCCCCAACUAGCAACAACCAAUGAGAUGCCUCCCCCUCCCCUUCUCAAUGCUCUCUUACUUGUGAUGUAAUUUCUUGUAUAAAAGCUAUGUAUCUUUACUACUUCUUUAGCCCUCCUACCGCGAGCUUAUCUUGCGAUGGGACGGCUCAUCCUCCGGAGGUUUUUCAAUAAACAACUUUUCUGCCUUCUACUGAGGGAUCUCUGAGUAGUCAUUUUGGGUAAGGGUCUUCUACAUCCCUCACAGUUGGGGGCUUGUCCGGGAUGGGGUCUUUGGGGGAGAUGGCUAUGUGCACCCUGAACAGGGACAGGCGCCCACGGAGUAGUUUUCUCCAUGGUCUCUGGCUCUGGGUGAGCAGCCUCCCUCCCCUCUUAGACAACGACCCGAAGCAGGAAUACUCAGUGGAACGCAGAAUUGAAGAUUGAAAGAAGUAGAGUCCUGAUGGCCGGCAUUUGCAGCCUGAAAAGAAACAUAUGUUCUCGAGUGGCUUUGCAGGAAGGGGGAAAGAAGGGGAAAAAAUAAAAACAUAGAUUGAAAGUUUGGAAAGUUUUGAGAAAAAUAGAAGAACAGUGGCUAUCGCUCCUGUAAACAAAGAGCCUGUUAUCAGGACUCAGCCAGAGAAAAGAAUUCUCAAGGUAAAGCAAGGAUUGGUGCUUAACUCUUUCCUGGUUACUAAAAAAAAGACAUGGGAAUAAAGUAUCUAGGUAAAUUUUAGGAAAUUUCACAAACUGAAGUAAAAUAACUUUAAAUUGGUGUGUGUGUUAAGACUGGAAAAUUUAAGAUUGGAAAUAAGAAACUGCAGAUAUUGGAAGGGAGGAAUAAAUAUAGAGUAAGAGAGGUAAAUAGUUGAACACAGGGGCGUUCUGACCUGUUGGACCUGUGGGAAAACUAGGCAUACUUCUAAAGAAAAAAAUUUGCAGGAAAAGAAAGAAAAAUCAUUAUUAGUAAAUUUGCCUUCAUGGAAUUAGAGAACAGAAAGUUUAAGAAGACUAAACUGGGUAAUUGUUUGCAAUAUUUGAUUAAGAGUUUUGGGAAUUUACUAUAUUUUAAAGAGGUACUAUAAUUUUGAAAUUGAAAUAAAAUUAAAACUGGGGGAAAUAAUUUACUGUUGCCUUACACAUGUUAGAUUUAUUCUGAGUAUAAAAUCUUAAGAAUUUUUCGAAUAUUAUGGCCUUUACAACUGAAAAGAAAAACUUUUCUUUUUUUUUUACUAUUUGGUUGGACUUCAAAUUGAAAUAUAGGUUAUUAAACAAAAUGCCAGUAGCUUACCUUAGGGGGGGCUUGUGUUUGUAUCUCCCUACUUAAAUGGUAUAUUGCUUUUUAAAAGUAUUGAGUAAUUUGUAAACUAUAUUAUAAGUUUUAUGAAAUUCAAAAUUAAUUGUGAAUCUUGAAGUUUAAAGUUUAAAAAAAAGAUGAUUUAAAGACAAGGGAAAAGAGAUUGAUUUACAAAAGCAAUUAAUAGUUUAAAUAGAGCAUCUAGUCGGAAGGAUUUUUGGUUUAGGAGUGUUUAAAGUAUGUAAUAAAUUUUGAGCAAUUAAGCAUUGGGAAGAGAGAGAGACAGAGAGAUGGGAUAGGAGAAUGAAGGUAAUUUAAGAAGGAUUGAUUAGUAGAAACAAAUGAUUUCAAGAAGUCGUCAGUGGGAAAAAGAAGGAACUUGUUGGAAAGGGUAGUCACAGAGAGAUGGCUGUGAGAAGGGAUGUGUUUUUGUGGGAGGAGAGAAAGUGAGCAGCAGUGGAAAGCGGCAGCCGCUUGGUUCCUUUGGCUGAAGAAAACAAAUGGUUAUUUAAAGAGACAAACUGCUCUUACAAGAUGUCAAUUGAUUGAAUAUUUGUUUCUUUAGAUACAUAAUGGUUAUGAAUAUUAAAGAAUAUGAUCAGAAAUGUGGUAUAUAGUUUGAAAGGGUUAUUUCAAAAAGUUUAAUUGAUGUUUUCAAGAACUUUUCAGAUUCUUUUUAUGUGAAAAUAGGAAGUUUUAAUUAACUGUAUUGAUGCCAAUUAUCUGAAAUGGGACUUCAAGGAUAAUAGUUUUUGCCUUCUUCCUUUUGAAAAUGUUUUUGUUGUGAACCAUAUGUAGUUUGGGAUUUUUCUGUAUAUUGGGUAUUUUAAAAGCAAAAUGAUUGGUAUAUUAAAUUUAUUCAAGAUGCAACAUCUACUUGGGUAUAUGAGAAUUGUGUGAAUUUUCUGGGAUAAAUUUCUUACUGUUAUUGAUAUAAGGUCAUGGUAAAUAACUGAGAUUUAUUUGAAACUUUGGAGACGAAAUUCUUUGGGCUUGUAAUUAAUGCUAUUUGGAAGUUUUAAAGCUCCACUCUUUGAUGUGCUGAAGAUUGAGUUUUAACUGCUUAUAUUAUGUUAUAGUUAUAUUCUUGCAUUUUUUCCUCCUGUGACUGAUUUCUAUGAUCAGAACAAUAGUUAAUAAGAACUGUUAAUGUAAUUCAAAUAUGUCAUACCUUGCUGUUUCCAAUCUGGUUAUAUGUAAUCAUUAUAUCCUAAAUACUUAGGCAAAUAAGUAUUUAGCCUGGUCAUCUGUCUGUUACUGGAUAUUUGUGUUUUAUUUUAAAAAAAAUUUUUUUUAAUGAUAAGAGGACAAUUUACAAUGGUCUGUGAAACCUAACUGCUACUUAUUGGAACUAUAGCUGUCUGCCUGUCCUGUGAAGCAAGCUUAUUCCUUCACACAGGAAAUGCUGGCCAAUCUAUACUAGCCUCCCCACAUGUUGUUGCAGGUCCAGACUGUUCUAACUUUGUUAGAUUUAGUUUUUUGUUGUUCUAAAUUUUGGUCAAAUUACAGAUUAUUGAAUCUCUUCUGAGACAUGGAUCGGCCCAUCUGAAGCUUAGAUUGACACCACACCCACACCCCUGCAUGGAUUGAGCACCUUCGCCCAUUUCUCAGCCUGAAGCAGCUAAGAUCCAGACCAUCACCAGUGCUCCUGAUGUAAUUUGGACUGAUAUGGGGGAAGUGGGAAAGUGGUUGAUGAAUUAUUGUUAAAAUUACAAUUCUAUUACUAGAGUUAGAAAAAAAAAUGCAAACAUUACUGUGUGUUUAAAAUUUGGGAUGGAAAUUAUUAAAAAUGGUAACUAUUGCUGUAAAGGAAGUUAUAAUAUGUUUAUAAUAUCUAUGUUCACUUCAGAAUAUGUAAUUGUUUAAGGUAUUUGAUUUGAUUUGAUUUGAUUGAUUUUAGGAAACUCCUCCUGUACUAGACUGUUAUGUAUGUAGGAACUUUAAUUCACUCUUGGGAUUUAUAUGUGGAUGGUAAUUUGACUAUUUAUUAUUAUUAUUUUUUUUUUGGAUGAUUCCUUUCCAUGAGGAAAAAAAAGGAGAGGAAGAGAUAGGGAACUAGGGAAACUGGUGGAUUUUUCUCAAAAUACCUAAAAGAGUGGGAACCCUUAGUUUUCUUUCACUUUUGCCUUAUGUACUUCUGCCCCACCCCCUAUACCAGCAGUUCAGAUUGAAUUGGAAGUCCUUAAACAAUCCUUUUUGUUUUUACUAUGUUUUAGCUUUGAAACCCCUUAUUCUGUGGAAUUGCCCUGGCAGACUCAGUUUUGGGAACUAUUCUGUUUUAAAGAAAUCUCUAAGAUAAAGACAUUUGUCUUGGGACUGGCAAUCACCAGCCCUGUAACCCCAGUUUCUUAACUAGUACCUCAGCAUUUUUAAUAACAUUGCCCUUUUGAGAUCAAGCCUCUAAAGUUUGGGGUUUGCCUGCCUUCAUGUUCUAACUGCAUGCUCUGAUAGCUCUGCUCAGAAAUCUGUAUUCUAGUAGCAGCCCUGUCUGUCCCCUUGGGUGGGGACAGGUGGAGCUACUCUAAGCCUCACCCUUCUCCCCUAGAGUGGGUUACCCCUCUGAAUGGGCAGCAUGACUGUCUCGAGCCCUGCUACUUCCUUUAUAAGCAGAAGCUGAGUUAAGUGCACAAAUGACUGCAGACCACCUAACACAGUGAACUGUCCAUCUCAAACUGGAUUCUCUGGCUGAGAUGAGGGCUUUUGUACUGCUGAUAACUCUGGGGUUGUCAGGAAGAGACUUGUCCUUGCCAUAAGUCCUUGCAUUUUCUAGUUUCAUUUUGACUUAUUUGCCUCACAUUGGAUUGGUCAAAAUUAUGGUGCUGAGACCUCCCAGGUAUCUUGGGGAGGUAAUUCAAUAAUUCAAAUAUUCAGAAGAAGAGUGUGUAAUGUUGUGCCUCAGUUUCCCUAGAUUGUCAUCUUUAUUUAUCUUUGUAUUUUUAUGUUUGCCAAAUGCCAAUCUGUUCUGUGAUAACUGUUUCUAAGAUAGUUGGUGGAAGCAAUUUUUAUGGUAUGAACUUAUUGCAGUCAAUGGUAUUAUCCUGUUGCUGCUAUGUCCUGUAUAAUUACAUUAGUAACCAGAAUAGUUCAGUGGUCCCUAUCAAAAUAUUGCAUACAGAAAAUGCUAUUAAAAUGAUGAUUCUUCAGAGAAAAGACUGGAAUGUAUUAAAGAGGGAUGAUCUUGAUUGUGAACUUGAUAAACAAUGUAUAUAUAGAUAUACUAACUGAUUUUGAACAGUGUGUAUGUUCUUCAUAGAAAUAUGAUAAAAAUCAUUUACAUGUUAGAAGGGGGGAGCUGUGGGGAAUAGAAAAGGUGAAGAACUUACAGGAAUGUAUGAAUUCUUUUUCUGUAUUUUAUUAUUUCUGUGUUUCCCCUAUGACCUGUAUAUGUGCAGGCUCAUAUCUACUUGAGCCUUGGCCAGCUAGAAACAUAUUUACUUAACCUGAACUGAUGACAUUUAUUGGUAUUUGACAUUUAUCAAUAUUUAGUCUAUUAGCUGGACCACUGUCUGCUUGAUUAAGCCUGAAGGCCUGACUUUGUUUCCCAGAAAUCAGGAGAUUUCAGGGAAACAGAAACCUUCCAUUCCAAUCUCCCCAACUAGCAACAACCAAUGAGAUGCCUCCCCCUCCCCUUCUCAAUGCUCUCUUACUUGUGAUGUAAUUUCUUGUAUAAAAGCUAUGUAUCUUUACUACUUCUUUAGCCCUCCUACCGCGAGCUUAUCUUGCGAUGGGACGGCUCAUCCUCCGGAGGUUUUUCAAUAAACAACUUUUCUGCCUUCUA
Long non-coding RNA from Antechinus flavipes (yellow-footed antechinus), 5341 nucleotides. RefSeq lists it as uncharacterized. The transcript is spliced from 2 exons. The record is from RefSeq and is a predicted model, not a curated record. Lineage: Eukaryota; Metazoa; Chordata; Mammalia; Dasyuromorphia; Dasyuridae.